GAGUAACACGUGACUAACCUACCCUCGAGAGGGGAAUAAUGAAGGGAGACCUUGCCUAAAACCGCAUAGUACCUACGGGUCAAAGGAGUAAUCCACUUGACGGAGGAGGUCGCGGCCGAUUAGCUAGUUGGCGGGGUAAUGGCCCACCAAGGCAGUGAUCGGUAUCCGGCCUGAGAGGGCGCACGGACACACUGGAACUGAAACACGGUCCAGACUCCUACGGGAGGCAGCAGUGGGGAAUUUUGCGCAAUGGGGGAAACCCUGACGCAGCAACGCCGCGUGGAGGAUGAAGUCCCUUGGGACGUAAACUCCUUUCGAUCGGGACGAUUAUGACGGUACCGGAAGAAGAAGCCCCGGCUAACUUCGUGCCAGCAGCCGCGGUAAUACGAGGGGGGCAAGCGUUGUUCGGAAUUAUUGGGCGUAAAGGGAGUGUAGGCGGUUUGGUAAGUCUCGUGUGAAAUCUUCAGGCUCAACCUGAAGUCUGCACGAGAAACUGCCGAGCUUGAGUAUGGGAGAGGUGAGUGGAAUUCCUGGUGUAGCGGUGAAAUGCGUAGAUAUCAGGAGGAACACCUGUGGCGAAAGCGGCUCACUGGACCAUAACUGACGCUGAGACUCGAAAGCUAGGGGAGCAAACAGGAUUAGAUACCCUGGUAGUCCUAGCCCUAAACGAUGACUGCUUG
Molecule: ribosomal RNA, 680 nt
Filed under: Acidobacteriaceae bacterium PA-H2
Lineage: Bacteria; Pseudomonadati; Acidobacteriota; Terriglobia; Terriglobales; Acidobacteriaceae
Description: bacterial SSU rRNA
Rfam family: Bacterial small subunit ribosomal RNA
Source: RNAcentral